RNAcentral lists this transfer RNA (69 nucleotides) under Marmota marmota marmota (Alpine marmot). It matches the Rfam family "tRNA". Rfam says of the family: Transfer RNA (tRNA) molecules are approximately 80 nucleotides in length. Their secondary structure includes four short double-helical elements and three loops (D, anti-codon, and T loops). The record is from Rfam by way of RNAcentral. RNAcentral also lists the same sequence under 1 other name. Lineage: Eukaryota; Metazoa; Chordata; Mammalia; Rodentia; Sciuridae.
GGGGUUGUGGCUCAGAGGUAGAGUACUUGCCUAGCAUGCAUGAGGCACAAGGUUCAAUCCUCAGCACCA